Molecule: transfer RNA, 75 nt
Filed under: Methylocucumis oryzae
Lineage: Bacteria; Pseudomonadati; Pseudomonadota; Gammaproteobacteria; Methylococcales; Methylococcaceae
Description: Methylococcaceae bacterium Sn10-6 tRNA
Rfam family: tRNA
About the family: Transfer RNA (tRNA) molecules are approximately 80 nucleotides in length. Their secondary structure includes four short double-helical elements and three loops (D, anti-codon, and T loops). Further hydrogen bonds mediate the characteristic L-shaped molecular structure. tRNAs have two regions of fundamental functional importance: the anti-codon, which is responsible for specific mRNA codon recognition, and the 3' end, to which the tRNAs corresponding amino acid is attached (by aminoacyl-tRNA synthetases). tRNAs cope with the degeneracy of the genetic code in two manners: having more than one tRNA (with a specific anti-codon) for a particular amino acid; and 'wobble' base-pairing, i.e. permitting non-standard base-pairing at the 3rd anti-codon position.
Source: Rfam by way of RNAcentral
GGGCCCUUAGCUCAGUUGGUUAGAGCGUCCGACUCAUAAUCGGCAGGUCGUAGGUUCAAAGUCCUACAGGGCCCA